CUGCUCCGCCCCGGGGUCCUCUCCUCCCGCCCGCCGGGCCCGCCGCUCCGCUGGAAGGACGGACGGACGGUUUCCAGCCGCCCGCCGCCGAGGCUUCCCGGGAAAAGCCUCUCCCUGUUGGCGGGACUCGGCCUGGGCGGGCGGGGGCAUCCGUCCCCGCGUUGGCGGGAAAGUCCGGCGGGCACGGCCCGGGCGCAGGUAGGACCAGGGCGCAGGGUGGGCGCCGAACGGGCGGAGCGGGUGCACGGUGGGUGGGCAGGUAGGGCCGGGGCAGGGCGACUAAGGUGGGCGCAGGGCGGGGCUCAGGCAAGCGGGGCAGCCACAGCCCCCGACCCACCAGAUCCCGCCCUCUCCCCCUCCAGGACACCCCCCGACCGUCCCUCCCGUCCGGUCCCCACGGACACCGACCUCCCUCCCUUCUGGCCGCUGCCACUGAUCGAUGGAACCACCCGGAGCUGCGAGGGAGUCGACGCGUGAUCGAUAGAUGAUGCCCUGGAUGGAUUACCCAUUGCUUUUGAGCAGCGGUGUCUAGCAAGCAGUAACUAUUGAGGAGAGGCUGUACAAACGGCAGAACUCUUCCUGAGAAACUAAGUUAUGAG
RNAcentral lists this long non-coding RNA (599 nucleotides) under Ornithorhynchus anatinus (platypus). RNAcentral describes it as "lncRNA (ENSOANG00000033917.2)". Lineage: Eukaryota; Metazoa; Chordata; Mammalia; Monotremata; Ornithorhynchidae. The record is from RNAcentral.